This 127-nucleotide small RNA is filed under the name Marmota monax (woodchuck). Lineage: Eukaryota; Metazoa; Chordata; Mammalia; Rodentia; Sciuridae. The record is from RNAcentral.
GCCAGGUGCUGUGGCACACACCUGUAAUCCCAACAACUUGGGAGGUUGAGGCAGGAGGAUCGUGGGUUCAAAGCCAGCCUCAGCAGAUUAUUGAGGCAUUUAGCAACUCAGUGAGAACCUGUCUCUA